RNAcentral lists this ribosomal RNA (479 nucleotides) under uncultured bacterium. RNAcentral describes it as "bacterial SSU rRNA". It matches the Rfam family "Bacterial small subunit ribosomal RNA", at positions 9 to 502 of the family's 1533-position model. The record is from RNAcentral.
GAGUUUGAUCGUGGCUCAGGACGAACGCUGGCGGCAUGCCUAACACAUGCAAGUCGAACGGGGAUACGAGAGCUUGCUUUUGUAUCUUAGUGGCGGACGGGCGAGUAACGCGUGAGCAACCUGCCCUUCAGUGGGGAAUAACGUCUGGAAACGGACGCUAAUACCGCAUAACACAACGGAGCCGCAUGACUUUGUUGUCAAAGGAUUUAUUCGCUGAAGGAUGGGCUCGCGUCCGAUUAGCUAGAUGGUGGGUAAAGGCUCACCAUGGCGACGAUCGGUAGCCGAACUGAGAGGUUGAUCGGCCGCAUUGGGACUGAGACACGGCCCAGACUCCUACGGGAGGCAGCAGUGGGGGAUAUUGCACAAUGGGGGAAACCCUGAUGCAGCAAUGCCGCGUGAGGGAAGAAGGUCUUCGGAUUGUAAACCUAAGUAGCCAGGGACGAUAAUGACGGUACCUGGAGAGUAAGCUCCGGCUAACU